GGGAAUAACAGUGAGAAAUCAUUGCUAAUACCGCAUAUGCUCACAGUAUCACAUGAUACAGUGAGGAAAGGAGUAAUCCGCUGAUAGAUGGGCUUGCGUCUGAUUAGUUAGUUGGUGGGGUAACGGCCUACCAAGACUACGAUCAGUAGCCGGACUGAGAGGUUGAACGGCCACAUUGGGACUGAGAUACGGCCCAGACUCCUACGGGAGGCAGCAGUCGGGAAUAUUGCGCAAUGGAGGAAACUCUGACGCAGUGACGCCGCGUAUAGGAAGAAGGUUUUCGGAUUGUAAACUAUUGUCAUUAGGGAAGAUAAAAGACUGUACCUAAGGAGGAAGCCCCGGCUAACUAUGUGCCAGCAGCCGCGGUAAUACAUAGGGGGCAAGCGUUAUCCGGAAUUAUUGGGUGUAAAGGGUGCGUAGACGGAAGAACAAGUUGGUUGUGAAAUCCCUCGGCUCAACUGAGGAACUGCAACCAAAACUAUUCUCCUUGAGUGUCGGAGAGGAAAGUGGAAUUCCUAGUGUAGCGGUGAAAUGCGUAGAUAUUAGGAGGAACACCAGUGGCGAAGGCGACUUUCUGGACGAUAACUGACGUUGAGGCACGAAAGUGUGGGGAGCAAACAGGAUUAGAUACCCUGGUAGUCCACACUGUAAACGAUGGA
This 659-nucleotide ribosomal RNA is filed under the name uncultured bacterium. RNAcentral's name for it is "bacterial SSU rRNA". It matches the Rfam family "Bacterial small subunit ribosomal RNA", at positions 139 to 813 of the family's 1533-position model. The record is from RNAcentral.